RNAcentral lists this ribosomal RNA (729 nucleotides) under uncultured bacterium. RNAcentral's name for it is "bacterial SSU rRNA". It matches the Rfam family "Bacterial small subunit ribosomal RNA", at positions 8 to 721 of the family's 1533-position model. The record is from RNAcentral.
AGAGUUUGAUCAUGGCUCAGGACGACGCUGGGCGGCGUGCCUAACACAUGCAAGUCGAACGGAGAUAUUAAGGAAGCUUGCGAAUUAAUAUCUUAGUGGCGGACGGGUGAGUAACGCGUGGGUAUUCUGCCCAUAAGUGGGGAACAACAGUUGGAACGGACUGCUAAUACCGCAUAAUCUGCGCAAGCAGGAAAGGUGGCCUCUGAAUAUGCUGCCGCUUAUGGAUGAGCCCGCGUCUGAUUAGCUAGUUGGUGGGGUAAAGGCCUACCAAGGCGACGAUCAGUAGCCGGCCUGAGAGGGUGAACGGCCACACUGGGACUGAGACACGGCCCAGACUCCUACGGGAGGCAGCAGUGGGGAAUAUUGCGCAAUGGGGGAAACCCUGACGCAGCGACGCCGCGUGAGCGAUGAAGGCCUUAGGGUUGUAAAGCUCUGUUUUAGGGGACGAAUGUCUAGAUCAGUAAUAUGGGUUUAGAAUGACGGUACCCUAAGAGGAAGCCCCGGCUAACUACGUGCCAGCAGCCGCGGUAAGACGUAGGGGGCGAGCGUUGUCCGGAAUUACUGGGCGUAAAGAGCACGUAGGCGGGAACUUAAGUCAGGUGUGAAAGACCGAGGCUCAACCUCGGGGUGGCACUUGAAACUGGGUUUCUUGAGGGCAGGAGAGGGCAGUAGAAUUCCUGGUGUAGCGGUGAAAUGCGUAGAAAUCAGGAGGAAUACCAGUGGCGAAGG